UCCGUUGUAGUUUAGUUGGUCAGGAUAUUCGCCUCUCACUCGUAAGACCCGGGUUCGAUUCCUGUCAAUGGAA
RNAcentral lists this transfer RNA (73 nucleotides) under Ipomoea nil (Japanese morning glory). It matches the Rfam family "tRNA". From Rfam's summary of the family: Transfer RNA (tRNA) molecules are approximately 80 nucleotides in length. Lineage: Eukaryota; Viridiplantae; Streptophyta; Magnoliopsida; Solanales; Convolvulaceae. The record is from Rfam by way of RNAcentral.